RNAcentral lists this microRNA precursor (74 nucleotides) under Aegilops tauschii subsp. strangulata. RNAcentral describes it as "pre miRNA mir-2973". The record is from RNAcentral. Lineage: Eukaryota; Viridiplantae; Streptophyta; Magnoliopsida; Poales; Poaceae.
CACGAACCGCGACUAAAGGCUCUUUCCGCGCGGGAACGAAAACGGCGCGAAAGAACCUUUAGUCGCGGGUCGUG